GUAUCAGAAGUGCGAAUGCUGACAUAAGUAACGAUAAAGCGGGUGAAAAGCCCGCUCGCCGGAAGACCAAGGGUUCCUGUCCAACGUUAAUCGGGGCAGGGUGAGUCGACCCCUAAGGCGAGGCCGAAAGGCGUAGUCGAUGGGAAACAGGUUAAUAUUCCUGUACUUGGUGUUACUGCGAAGGGGGGACGGAGAAGGCUAUGUUGGCCGGGCGACGGUUGUCCCGGUUUAAGCGUGUAGGCUGGUUUUCCAGGCAAAUCCGGAAAAUCAAGGCUGAGGCGUGAUGACGAGGCACUACGGUGCUGAAGCAACAAAUGCCCUGCUUCCAGGAAAAGCCUCUAAGCAUCAGGUAACAUCAAAUCGUACCCCAAACCGACACAGGUGGUCAGGUAGAGAAUACCAAGGCGCUUGAGAGAACUCGGGUGAAGGAACUAGGCAAAAUGGUGCCGUAACUUCGGGAGAAGGCACGCUGAUAUGUAGGUGAAGUCCCUCGCGGAUGGAGCUGAAAUCAGUCGAAGAUACCAGCUGGCUGCAACUGUUUAUUAAAAACACAGCACUGUGCAAACACGAAAGUGGACGUAUACGGUGUGACGCCUGCCCGGUGC
This 605-nucleotide ribosomal RNA is filed under the name Escherichia coli. RNAcentral's name for it is "partial 23S ribosomal RNA". It matches the Rfam family "Bacterial large subunit ribosomal RNA", at positions 1279 to 1869 of the family's 2925-position model. RNAcentral also lists the same sequence under 2 other names. The record is from RNAcentral. Lineage: Bacteria; Pseudomonadati; Pseudomonadota; Gammaproteobacteria; Enterobacterales; Enterobacteriaceae.